This 405-nucleotide ribosomal RNA is filed under the name uncultured bacterium. Its description in RNAcentral is "partial 16S ribosomal RNA". It matches the Rfam family "Bacterial small subunit ribosomal RNA", at positions 28 to 526 of the family's 1533-position model. The record is from RNAcentral.
GACGAACGCUGGCGGCGUGCUUAACACAUGCAAGUCGAGCGGAGCGGCGAACGGGUGAGUAACGCGUGAGUAACUGGCCCCCUCUCUGGGAUAACAGUUGGAAACGGCUGCUAAUACCGGAUAGUGGGGGAUGACGCGCGUACUAUCAGCUUGGUGGUGGGGUAGUGGCCUAACAAGGCGACGACGGGUAGCCGGCCUGAGAGGGCGACCGGCCACAUGGGGAUGAGAAACGGCACAAGCUCCUACGGGAGGCAGCGGUGGGGAAUACUGCGCGAUGGGGGAAACCCUGAUGCAGCAACGCCGCGUGCGGGAUGACGGCCUGCGGGUUGUAAACCGCUUUCACCCAUGACGCGGUAGUGGCAGACGGAGCACCGGGUAACUACGUGCCAGCAGCCGCGGUAAUAC